Molecule: ribosomal RNA, 612 nt
Filed under: Cortinarius leucopus
Lineage: Eukaryota; Fungi; Basidiomycota; Agaricomycetes; Agaricales; Cortinariaceae
Description: eukaryotic LSU rRNA
Rfam family: 5.8S ribosomal RNA (bases 220-373)
Source: RNAcentral
GAGGAAGUAAAAGUCGUAACAAGGUUUCCGUAGGUGAACCUGCGGAAGGAUCAUUAUUGAAAUAAACCUGAUGGGUUGUUGCUGGUUCUCUAGGGAGCAUGUGCACGCCUUGUCAUCUUUAUAUCUCCACCUGUGCACUUUUUGUAGACCUCUCAGGUCUAUGUUGCUUCAUUUACCCCAAUGUAUGUUAAUAGAAUGUUGUGCCUAUAUAAUAUAUACAACUUUCAGCAACGGAUCUCUUGGCUCUCGCAUCGAUGAAGAACGCAGCGAAAUGCGAUAAGUAAUGUGAAUUGCAGAAUUCAGUGAAUCAUCGAAUCUUUGAACGCACCUUGCGCUCCUUGGUAUUCCGAGGAGCAUGCCUGUUUGAGUGUCAUUAAUAUAUAUCAACCCUCUCUUUUUGAGUGGUUUGGAUGUGGGGGUUUGCUGGCCUCUUAAAUGAUUCAGCUCCCCUGAAAUGCAUUAGCAGAACAACCUUGUUCAUUGGCGUGAUAACUAUCUAUGCUAUUGAAUGUGAGGGCAGUUCAGCUUUCUAACUGUCUUUGGACAAUUCAUCAUUAAUGUGACCUCAAWUCRGGUAGGMCYACCCGCUGAACUUAAGCAUAUCAAUAAGCC